UGCANUGGGGGCACCCUGAUGCAGCGACGCCGCGUGAGCGAUGAAGCCCUUCGGGGUGUAAAGCUCUUUCGGCAGGAACGAUAAUGACGGUACCUGAAGAAGAAGCUGCGGCUAACUACGUGCCAGCAGCCGCGGUAAUACGUAGGCAGCAAGCGUUGUUCGGAGUUACUGGGCGUAAAGAGUGGGCAGGCGGUUCUCUAAGUUCGGUGUGAAAUCUCCCGGCUCAACUGGGAGGGUGCGCCGGAAACUGGAGGGCUGGAGUAUGGGAAGGGAAAGCGGAAUUCCUGGUGUAGCGGUGAAAUGCGUAGAUAUCAGGAGGAACACCUGUGGUGAAGACGGCUUUCUGGACCAUCACUGACGCUGAGACACGAAAGCGUGGGUAGCAAACAGGAUUAGAUACCCUGGUAGUCCACGCCCUAAACGAUGCAUACUUGGUGUGAGCCGUUCAUUCGGUUCGUGCCGGAGCUAACGCGUUAAGUAUGCCGCCUGGGGAGUACGGUCGCAAGGCUGAAACUCAAAAAAAUUGACGGA
Molecule: ribosomal RNA, 531 nt
Filed under: uncultured bacterium
Lineage: Bacteria
Description: bacterial SSU rRNA
Rfam family: Bacterial small subunit ribosomal RNA
Source: RNAcentral